UAAUCAUUCAAGGUGCAUCAGACUAA
RNAcentral lists this non-coding RNA (26 nucleotides) under Rattus norvegicus (Norway rat). The record is from RNAcentral. Lineage: Eukaryota; Metazoa; Chordata; Mammalia; Rodentia; Muridae.